RNAcentral lists this ribosomal RNA (484 nucleotides) under uncultured bacterium. RNAcentral's name for it is "partial 16S ribosomal RNA". It matches the Rfam family "Bacterial small subunit ribosomal RNA", at positions 30 to 507 of the family's 1533-position model. The record is from RNAcentral.
AUUGAACGCUGGCGGCAGGCCUAACACAUGCAAGUCGAGCGGAUGAAGGGAGCUUGCUCCUGGAUUCAGCGGCGGACGGGUGAGUAAUGCCUAGGAAUCUGCCUGGUAGUGGGGGAUAACGUCCGGAAACGGGCGCUAAUACCGCAUACGUCCUGAGGGAGAAAGUGGGGGAUCUUCGGACCUCACGCUAUCAGAUGAGCCUAGGUCGGAUUAGCUAGUUGGUGGGGUAAAGGCCUACCAAGGCGACGAUCCGUAACUGGUCUGAGAGGAUGAUCAGUCACACUGGAACUGAGACACGGUCCAGACUCCUACGGGAGGCAGCAGUGGGGAAUAUUGGACAAUGGGCGAAAGCCUGAUCCAGCCAUGCCGCGUGUGUGAUGAAGGUCUUCGGAUUUUAAAGCACUUUAAGUUGGGAGGAAGGGCAGUAAGUUAAUACCUUGCUGUUUUGACGUUACCAACAGAAUAAGCACCGGCUAACUUCGUG